This is a small nuclear RNA of Bos grunniens (domestic yak), 104 nucleotides long. The record is from Ensembl. Lineage: Eukaryota; Metazoa; Chordata; Mammalia; Artiodactyla; Bovidae.
GUGCUCGCCUCGGCAGCACAUAUACUAAAAUUGGAAUGAUACAGAGAUUAGCAUGGCCCCUGCUCAAGGAUGACACGCAAAUUCGUGAAGUGUUCCGUACUUAA